AACGAACGCUGGCGGCAUGCCUAACACAUGCAAGUCGAACGAACCCUUCGGGGUUAGUGGCGCACGGGUGCGUAACGCGUGGGAAUCUGCCCUUUGCUUCGGAAUAACUCAGGGAAACUUGUGCUAAUACCGGAUGAUGUCUUCGGACCAAAGAUUUAUCGGCAAGGGAUGAGCCCGCGUAGGAUUAGGUAGUUGGUGGGGUAAAGGCCUCCCAAGCCGAGGAUCCUUAGCUGGUCGGGGAGGAUGAUCAGCCACACUGGGACUGAGACACGGCCCAGAUGCCAAGGGAAGGCGCAGUGGGGGAUAAUGGAAAAAGGGCGCAAGCCUGAUCCAGCAAUGCCGCGUGAGUGAUGAAGGCCCUCGGGUCGUAAAGCUCUUUUACCAGGGAUGAUAAUGACAGUACCUGGAGAAUAAGCUCCGGCUAACUCCGUG
This 432-nucleotide ribosomal RNA is filed under the name uncultured bacterium. RNAcentral describes it as "partial 16S ribosomal RNA". It matches the Rfam family "Bacterial small subunit ribosomal RNA", at positions 29 to 507 of the family's 1533-position model. The record is from RNAcentral.